UAGAACGACGCUGGCGGCAUGCCUAACACAUGCAAGUCGAACGAGACCUUCGGGUCUAGUGGUGCACGGGUGCGUAACGCGUGGGAACCUGCCUUUAGGUUCGGAAUAACUCAGAGAAAUUUGAGCUAAUACCGGAUGAUGUCUUCGGACCAAAGAUUUAUCGCUUUAGAUGGGCCCGCGUAAGAUUAGCUAGUUGGUGGGGUAAAGGCCUACCAAGGCGACGAUCUUUAGCUGGUCUGAGAGGAUGAUCAGCCACACUGGGACUGAGACACGGCCCAGACUCCUACGGGAGGCAGCAGUGGGGAAUAUUGGACAAUGGGCGAAAGCCUGAUCCAGCAAUGCCGCGUGAGUGAUGAAGGCCUUAGGGUUGUAAAGCUCUUUUACCCGAGAUGAUAAUGACAGUAUCGGGAGAAUAAGCUCCGGCUAACUCCGUG
Molecule: ribosomal RNA, 434 nt
Filed under: uncultured bacterium
Lineage: Bacteria
Description: bacterial SSU rRNA
Rfam family: Bacterial small subunit ribosomal RNA
Source: RNAcentral